CUUCCUACGGGAGGCAGCAGUGAGGAAUAUUGGUCAAUGGUCGGGAGACUGAACCAGCCAAGCCGCGUGAGGGAUGAAGGUACAGAGUAUCGUAAACCUCUUUUGUCAGGGAACAAAGGCGGGGACGUGUCCCCGGAUGAGUGUACCUGAAGAAAAAGCAUCGGCUAACUCCGUGCCAGCAGCCGCGGUAAUACGGAGGAUGGGCGCGUUAUCCGGAUUUAUUGGGUUUAAAGGGUGCGCAGGCGGUCUGUUAAGUCAGCGGUCAAAACCCGGGGCUCAACCCCGGCCCGGCGUUGUAACUGGCG
Molecule: ribosomal RNA, 305 nt
Filed under: uncultured bacterium
Lineage: Bacteria
Description: bacterial SSU rRNA
Rfam family: Bacterial small subunit ribosomal RNA
Source: RNAcentral